Long non-coding RNA from Eurytemora carolleeae, 169 nucleotides. RefSeq lists it as uncharacterized. NCBI's taxonomy places the organism in Eukaryota, Metazoa, Arthropoda, Copepoda, Calanoida, Temoridae. The record is from RefSeq and is a predicted model, not a curated record. The transcript is spliced from 3 exons.
AAGGUAUAUCAUGUGGAUUGGCUCAAACUGGUUUUAAUGUUUACAAACUAGUUCCAACUGGAUCUGUGGAUGAGGUUUUACCCUGGCUUUCUAGAAGAAUGGCAGAGAAUAGAGGGAUUAUGGCUGGUGCCAAACAUGACAGGCUCAUGAUUUACGAAGAACUUUGCCG